RNAcentral lists this transfer RNA (76 nucleotides) under Desulfobacteraceae bacterium. RNAcentral describes it as "tRNA-His". It matches the Rfam family "tRNA". Rfam says of the family: Transfer RNA (tRNA) molecules are approximately 80 nucleotides in length. Their secondary structure includes four short double-helical elements and three loops (D, anti-codon, and T loops). Further hydrogen bonds mediate the characteristic L-shaped molecular structure. tRNAs have two regions of fundamental functional importance: the anti-codon, which is responsible for specific mRNA codon recognition, and the 3' end, to which the tRNAs corresponding amino acid is attached (by aminoacyl-tRNA synthetases). tRNAs cope with the degeneracy of the genetic code in two manners: having more than one tRNA (with a specific anti-codon) for a particular amino acid; and 'wobble' base-pairing, i.e. permitting non-standard base-pairing at the 3rd anti-codon position. Lineage: Bacteria; Pseudomonadati; Thermodesulfobacteriota; Desulfobacteria; Desulfobacterales; Desulfobacteraceae. The record is from RNAcentral.
GUGGAUGUAGCUCAGUUGGCAGAGCACCGGGUUGUGGCCCCGGGUGUCGUGGGUUCGAGUCCCAUCUUCCACCCCA